RNAcentral lists this ribosomal RNA (624 nucleotides) under uncultured bacterium. Its description in RNAcentral is "bacterial SSU rRNA". It matches the Rfam family "Bacterial small subunit ribosomal RNA", at positions 157 to 779 of the family's 1533-position model. The record is from RNAcentral.
GGAAGAUUAAUACAAGAUGGCAUCAUGAGUUCACAUGUUCACGUGAUUAAAGGUAUUCCGGUAGACGAUGGGGAUGCGUUCCAUUAGAUAGUAGGCGGGGUAACGGCCCACCUAGUCUUCGAUGGAUAGGGGUUCUGAGAGGAAGGUCCCCCACAUUGGAACUGAGACACGGUCCAAACUCCUACGGGAGGCAGCAGUGAGGAAUAUUGGUCAAUGGGCGAGAGCCUGAACCAGCCAAGUAGCGUGAAGGAUGACUGCCCUAUGGGUUGUAAACUUCUUUUAUAAAGGAAUAAAGUCGGGUAUGGAUACCCGUUUGCAUGUACUUUACGAAUAAGGAUCGGCUAACUCCGUGCCAGCAGCCGCGGUAAUACGGAGGAUCCGAGCGUUAUCCGGAUUUAUUGGGUUUAAAGGGAGCGUAGAUGGAUGUUUAAGUCAGUUGUGAAAGUUUGCGGCUCAACCGUAAAAUUGCAGUUGAUACUGGAUAUCUUGAGUGCAGUUGAGGCAGGCGGAAUUCGUGGUGUAGCGGUGAAAUGCUUAGAUAUCACGAAGAACUCCGAUUGCGAAGGCAGCCUGCUAAGCUGCAACUGACAUUGAGGCUCGAAAGUGUGGGUAUCAAACAGGAUU